GCGAGGAUGGUGGAAUCCGGUAGACACGCUGGUCUCAGAAGCCAGAGCCGAGAGGUGUGGGGGUUCAAGUCCCCCUUCUCGCACCA
This 86-nucleotide transfer RNA is filed under the name Deinococcus roseus. RNAcentral's name for it is "tRNA-Leu". It matches the Rfam family "tRNA". Rfam says of the family: Transfer RNA (tRNA) molecules are approximately 80 nucleotides in length. Their secondary structure includes four short double-helical elements and three loops (D, anti-codon, and T loops). The record is from RNAcentral. RNAcentral also lists the same sequence under 1 other name. Lineage: Bacteria; Thermotogati; Deinococcota; Deinococci; Deinococcales; Deinococcaceae.